Molecule: ribosomal RNA, 469 nt
Filed under: uncultured bacterium
Lineage: Bacteria
Description: partial 16S ribosomal RNA
Rfam family: Bacterial small subunit ribosomal RNA
Source: RNAcentral
GACGAACGCUGGCGGCGUGCUUAACACAUGCAAGUCGAACGGAAAGGCCCUGCUUUUGUGGGGUGCUCGAGUGGCGAACGGGUGAGUAACACGUGAGUAACCUGCCCUUGACUUUGGGAUAACUUCAGGAAACUGGGGCUAAUACCGGAUAGGAGCUCCUGCUGCAUGGUGGGGGUUGGAAAGUUUUUUCGGUGUAGGAUGAGCUCGCGGCCUAUCAGCUUGUUGGUGGGGUAAUGGCCUACCAAGGCGGCGACGGGUAGCCGGCCUGAGAGGGUGGACGGCCACAUUGGGACUGAGAGACGGCCCAGACUCCUACGGGAGGCAGCAGUGGGGAAUAUUGCACAAUGGGCGCAAGCCUGAUGCAGCGACGCCGCGUGGGGGAUGACGGCCUUCGGGUUGUAAACUACUUUCGCUAGGGACGAAGCUUUUUGUGACGGUACCUAGAUAAGAAGCACCGGCUAACUACGUG